AUGGUGCUGGACAAGGAGAGGAGCAGGGUCCUUGUAAUUGGUGGCACAGGUCACAUAGGCAAGCAUAUCGUCGCGGCGAGUGCCCGCCGUGGCCACUCGACCUCUGUCCUCAUCAGGGAUGUUGCUCCGUCUGAUCCAGCCAAGAUGGAGCUCCUCAAGAGGUUCACUGAUUCCGGUGUUGCUCUCAUCAAGGGAGAUUUAUUUGACCACGGGAGCCUCGUAAAUGCCAUAAAGGGUGCAGACAUUGUCAUCUCGGCCGUGGGGCCCCGUCAGCUCGCCGAGCAGACGAGGAUUGUCAUUGCAAUCAAGGAGGUCGGCAAUGUGAAGAGGUUUCUGCCAUCUGAGUUCGGCUCUGAUGUAGAGCGGGUUCACACCGUUGAUCCAGCGGCCACAUUGUGCGCUAGUAAAGUCAAAUUUCGCUGUCUGAUUGAGGCGGAGGGUAUACCUCAUACAUAUGUCUGCUGCAAUGGGUUCGCCGAAACCUACCUUCCGAGCAUUGGCGAUGUUACAGCUGUUGGCGCUGGCCCUCCGUCCGACAAGAUCACCGUCCUAGGCGAUGGAGAUGCAAAAGCAGUGUUUGUGGUGGAAGAAGACAUAGCUGCCUACACGGUGAGGGCGGUCGACGAUCCUAGAACCCUGAACAAGAUCCUGUACAUGAGGCCGCCGGCGAACAUAUUGUCCCACAACGAGCUCAUCUCGAUGUGGGAAAGGAAAGUGGACAGGACUUUCCAUGUCGUGCGCAUCCCGGAGGCGGAUCUCCUGAAGAUGAUCAAGGGUACAUCCAUCAUACUGCGACCAGACUUGUAUAUGUGGUGUUUGUACAUGGUUGCAACGGCACCUCUGACCUCUCUUGACAUGCAUAAUGCAGAGGUGGCGUUCCCUAUGAACAUAUUGCUGUCCCUCGCGCUCUCCAUCUUCGUUAGGGGCGACCAGGCCAACUUCGAGAUUGAACCAUCCUUUGGCGUUGAGGCCACUAAGCUGUACCCCGACCUAAGGUACACCACUGUCGACGAGUAUCUCGACCGCCUACUCUGA
This 1035-nucleotide ribosomal RNA is filed under the name Triticum aestivum (bread wheat). RNAcentral's name for it is "partial small subunit ribosomal RNA". The record is from RNAcentral. Lineage: Eukaryota; Viridiplantae; Streptophyta; Magnoliopsida; Poales; Poaceae.